UCGGGAAUUUUGGGCAAUGGGCGAAAGCCUGACCCAGCAACGCCGCGUGAAGGAUGAAGUAUUUCGGUAUGUAAACUUCGAAAGAAUAGGAAGAAUAAAUGACGGUACUAUUUAUAAGGUCCGGCUAACUACGUGCCAGCAGCCGCGGUAAUACGUAGGGACCAAGCGUUGUUCGGAUUUACUGGGCGUAAAGGGCGCGUAGGCGGCAAUUCAAGUCAUCUGUGAAAUCUCCGGGCUUAACUCGGAACGGUCAGAUGAUACUGCUGUGCUAGAGUACAGAAAGGGCAAUCGGAAUUCUUGGUGUAGCGGUGAAAUGCGUAGAUAUCAAGAGGAACACCUGAGGCGAAGGCGGUUACCUGGGCUGUAACUGACGCUGAGGCGCGAAAGCUAGGGUAGCAAAAGGGGAUUAGAUACCCGUGUAGUCCCUGAGCGGGCUGGCAAGGCGCAU
RNAcentral lists this ribosomal RNA (448 nucleotides) under uncultured bacterium. Its description in RNAcentral is "bacterial SSU rRNA". It matches the Rfam family "Bacterial small subunit ribosomal RNA", at positions 355 to 825 of the family's 1533-position model. The record is from RNAcentral.